AAUUGGAGAGUCCGAUCCUGGCUCAGGAUGAACGCUGGGGGCAUGCUUAACACAUGCAAGUUGAACGUAUUACGCCCGAAGGGUGUCAUGCGUGGCGAACGGGUGAGUAUCACCUAAGAACCAACCCUUUGGAUGAGAAUAACUUUUGGAAACGAAAGCUAAAACUCAAUGAUGGUAGUGUUGACCUAAAUAUUUAAUAAAUGCCAAAGGACGGGCUUGGGGCUGAUUAGUUUGUUGGUAAGGUAAAAGCUUACCAAGACCACAAUCAGUAGCUGGUCUAAGAGGAUGAUCAGCCACACUGGGACUGAGACACGGCCCAGACCUCUACGGAGGGCAGCAGUGAGGAAUUUUCCGCAAUGGGCGAAAGCCUGACGGAGCAAUGCCCCGUGGAGGAAAGAAGGCUCUUGGGUCGUAAACUCCUUUUCUCAGAAAAGAAAAAAAUGACGGUAUUUGAGGAAAAAGCAUCGGCUAACUUCGUGCCAGCAGCCGCGGUAAUACGGGGGAUGCAAGCGUUAUCCGGAAUUAUUGGGCGUUAAGGGUCCGAAGGUGGUUUUUAAAGUCUACUGUGAAAGUUCAAAGCUCAACUUUGAAAAGUCAGUAUGAUACUCAAAAACUUGAGAUAGAUAGAGGUAGAGGGAAUUCUCGGUGGAGUGGUGAAAUGCGUAGAUAUCGAGAAGAACACCGGUGGCGAAAGCGCUCUACUGGGUCUAUACUGACACUCAUGGACGAAAGCUAAGGGAGCCAAUAGGAUUAGAUACCCUAGUAGUCUUAGCUGUAAACGAUGGAGAUUCAGUUUUGGUUUUUUUAUCAGAACUUAAGCUUACGCUUUAAAUCUCCCGCCUGGGGAGUAUGCUCGCAAGAGUGAAACUCAAAGGAAUUGGCGGGGGCCCGCACAAGCGGUGGAGCAUGUGGUUUAAUUCGAUGCAACGCGAAGAACCUUACCAGAAUUUGACAGUUCAUUGGCUUUUUCUUGAAAAAGAAUUAGUCCUUUUUGGAACAAUGGAAACAGGUGGUGCAUGGCUGUCGUCAGCUCGUGUCGUGAGAUGUUGGGUUCAGUCCCGCAACGAGCGCAACCCUUAUCAUUUGUUGAGCCCCCUCUAAAUCUAAACGAGGGGGCUCCUAAUGAAACUGCCAGCCAAAAGCUGGAGGAAGGCGAGGAUGAGGUCAAGUCAGCAUGCCCCUUAUAUUCUGGGCGACACACGUGCUACAAUGGUCGAGACAAAGGGUAGCUUGCUUGUCAAAGUUGGCAAAUCCCAAAAACUCGAUCUCAGUUCGGAUUGUCGGCUGCAACUCGCCGACAUGAAGUCGGAAUCGCUAGUAAUCGCCGGUCAGCCAUACGGCGGUGAAUACGUUCCCGGGCCUUGCACACACCGCCCGUCACUCAGGCAAAGUCGGGUGCACCCAAAAUCAAUGAACUCUUAGCUGAAACGCUUGCGAGAAGUUGCCUAAGGUGAAUCUGGUAAUGCCUGAGAAGUCGUAACAAGGUAACCGUACUGGAAGGUGCGGUUGGAUAACCUCC
This 1519-nucleotide ribosomal RNA is filed under the name Caulerpa lentillifera. RNAcentral's name for it is "SSU rRNA". It matches the Rfam family "Bacterial small subunit ribosomal RNA". Lineage: Eukaryota; Viridiplantae; Chlorophyta; Ulvophyceae; Bryopsidales; Caulerpaceae. The record is from RNAcentral.